Molecule: ribosomal RNA, 253 nt
Filed under: Bacteroides caecigallinarum
Lineage: Bacteria; Pseudomonadati; Bacteroidota; Bacteroidia; Bacteroidales; Bacteroidaceae
Description: partial 23S ribosomal RNA
Rfam family: Bacterial large subunit ribosomal RNA
Source: RNAcentral
AGUCAGAUUGCUAAGACAGCUAGGAUGUUGGCUUGGAAGCAGCCAUUCAUUUAAAGAGUGCGUAACAGCUCACUAGUCGAGGAAUUUGGCGUGGAUAAUAAUCGGGUAUCAAGUUGUCUGCCGAAGCUAUGGAAUCAUUAAUGAUUGGUAGGGGAGCAUUCCAUUCUGCGUCGAAGGCGUGGCGCGAGCCACUCUGGAGCGUAUGGAAAAGCAAAUGUAGGUAUAAGUAACGAUAAAGGGGGCGGGAAACCCC